Sarcophilus harrisii (Tasmanian devil) is the source of this 1345-nucleotide long non-coding RNA. RefSeq lists it as uncharacterized. The record is from RefSeq and is a predicted model, not a curated record. NCBI's taxonomy places the organism in Eukaryota, Metazoa, Chordata, Mammalia, Dasyuromorphia, Dasyuridae. The transcript has 2 exons.
CUGAACUACAGAGUGUGUGAUGAAGGGGGUUUGCAUAUUAGGGGCUAGAAAGGAAGAUUGGAGUCAGAUUAUGAUGAUUUUAAACACUAAACAGAGUAGUUUUAUGUACACAUAAUAAGGAGCCACAGAAGUUUAUUGAGAAGAAGAGUGACGUGAUGAGAUCUACAUUACAAAAAAUCAGUUUGGCAGCUGUGUGGAGAAUGCACUGAAGAAGCUAGAGACUUGAGGCAGGGAGAUCACUUAGGAGGCCAUUGCAAUAGUCCAGAUCUUUAGAAAGGAGUCACCCAUCUUCAAUUCCCUCUUCCUGUCUACAAUCCGAAGAUUCUGUCAGUACUACUCAAGUCUAUCCCUGGAUUGAAGGAGAAGGCUGACAAUGAGAACAGGCGGAUUCAAGAUGAGUUUCAUUCAGCACCUUUGACUACCUCUUCUGCUUUAUGGCUAUUAUUGGCUGUUUUUUUUUUAUUUUUGUUUUUGUUUUUUUUUUCCUGAUCACAGGUGAUACUGAACAGUGAUCCUGAGAUGGAUUAUGUCAAAAUCUUGAAGCCAAGUCCACAAAUUUGAGAUAUUGGAGAUUCCGGGUCGAUUGGUCAGAGUCUGCAGAAGAAGUUUUUGAAUCAUAGAAGACUACUGAGGAGAAGAGGAUGAGAGACUAAGCCUGGCUUGUCAGAUAGGUCAUCUAUCUUGAAGGAGAUUCCUUGAGGUGAUAUGCCUAGUUAGUAGUCCUUUGAAAUGCUUCAUGUUCUGAUAUUUAAACUUUUAACUUCCAAGGAAAGCAUAAAUGGAAUUAUAAGUCAUUGAUUACUUAAGUCUUUUCAGUAUGUGUUUGUGUGAGCUUUUUGUGUCAAAUAUUUCUUUUGAGUCUUCAAAGAAAAUCCCUGUUCCAAAGUGGUUUCAUGCUGUACCUUGAAUACCUUUCUAUUCUUCUCCCUGAGGAGUUAUUAGUCAUUAGCCAACUUAAAACUAACAAUGAAGUAUUUACAUAGCACUUUAAGAAUUUUAAAUGAGCUGAGAAUGCUAGAGGGAAAAAUUGGAAAAGAAAUGAGAGCUAUGGAAGAAAGGAUUGGAAAGGGAAUUAACAGUUUGGCAUAAGAGGUAAAAGGAACAAGCAACAAAAUCACUGAAUAUUACAAUGGGACAAAUAGGACCCAAUGAUUUCAUAAAAAAAUAAGAAAUAUUUUUAAAAAUUGAAAAACAAGAAAACAAGAAAAUAUAAGAUAUCUUAUGAAUGUAAAAAAAUGUAAAAAUGACUGAUAUAAAAACAGAUUGAGAAGAAAUGAGUCAUUGGACUAUCUGAAUUCCAUGACCCAAAAUGAGCUUAGACCCAAGAAAUCUUAAAAGAAAACAG